CUUAAGGACCUUGACUGGUCUCCCUGUGGGCGUCAUGUUGGAAGGAGGGCAGAAGGUAUUUACCUCUGGGGUAUUAGGGCACAGAUUUGCCGUGUGAGAGUUGAAGGCACAAAUGGCACAAGCGGGCGUCUUUAGGCCCGCAAAGUGUCGACAAAAAAGCUCCGUAUCCAGCACACUCCAGUCAGCUUGAUAAUUAAACUGGGAUAUAG
Non-coding RNA from Pelobates cultripes (western spadefoot toad), 209 nucleotides. The record is from the annotation of a GenBank genome assembly. NCBI's taxonomy places the organism in Eukaryota, Metazoa, Chordata, Amphibia, Anura, Pelobatidae.